ACGAUGGAGAGUUUGAUCCUGGCUCAGGAUGAACGCUAGCGGCAGGCCUAAUACAUGCAAGGCGAAGGGGCAGCAAUGUCACUGUCGUACGGGUGCGUAACGCGUAUGCAACCUACCUAUCACAGGGGAAUAGCCUUUGGAAACAGGGAUUAAUACCGCAUAAAGCAGGGACUCCGCAUGGAGAUAUUGCUAAAGAUUUAUC
This 202-nucleotide ribosomal RNA is filed under the name Runella salmonicolor. Its description in RNAcentral is "partial 16S ribosomal RNA". It matches the Rfam family "Bacterial small subunit ribosomal RNA", at positions 1 to 216 of the family's 1533-position model. Lineage: Bacteria; Pseudomonadati; Bacteroidota; Cytophagia; Cytophagales; Spirosomataceae. The record is from RNAcentral.